GGUUAACAUAGUUACUUAUUCUAUUCCUUCUAUUUGUAUAUUUGAGAAUGCUUAGCUCUUCUUAUUUCAACUGGGUUUUAAAUUGUAACAGCAUAUGGUAAACUGUAGAAAGUUAAAACAUCGAGAUUACAUAAUCUGCAAUGUCGAGCUGUACAUCAGUUUUAUUAUCAACUCACUCUAUUAAAAAAAGAUCGAAUUUGAGGCCUUAUGGUAUGAGUCUAAAAUGGUAAUGUGUAACAAUUCGAGUGACAAUGUCAUUUUACGAGCAUUUAAAUCUCUGUUGCCGGAUUCCUUAACCGCAAGUCUUGCUCUUCACAUCUGUCGGAUGGUUUCCAAGUAAGCUCUGGGAGGGGCUGUCACUAGUUUUCUAUGUGUGAACGAAAGGUGGUUUUUGUUAUUUUCCUUGAAUGAACAAAGUUCUGUUCCCUUGUCUGCAAUAUGCAGGGAUGGAAAGGCCCCCAUGAUGACUCCACCUCACUCCAACAACCCAUGCUACAUCAACCUCAUUGAUCCAUAGUAAAUCAACAGGCUUCCGGAAGUGAGUGUUUAUACUUGUGCUAAAUCACCCAGGUGCAUAAGAAGCUCAAAAUUUGGGAGCUGUUAGUUCCCCAUUUGAUGCUUAAAGGCAAAUGUGCUCCUCGUGUUUGAUUUUAGUAUAAUAAUCUUGAUUGCAACUUUUAUAGGUGAGGUGCCUGCAAUUCUUCUCCAGGUUGGAGUUAUUGCAAGUUUAUGACCUAAGCUUAAGCCCCUGUUUUUUUUUUUUUUGAUAAGUGCCUAAGCCCCUGUUUGAUAAUGUAAUCGGUGCCUAUAUCUUCCCUUUCGUAGCGAGGAUAGGGUGCUUAUUGUUAUAUAAUGAAAAUCCUUCUUUA
Non-coding RNA from Punica granatum (pomegranate), 869 nucleotides. The record is from RefSeq and is a predicted model, not a curated record. Lineage: Eukaryota; Viridiplantae; Streptophyta; Magnoliopsida; Myrtales; Lythraceae.